This 222-nucleotide long non-coding RNA is filed under the name Dromaius novaehollandiae (emu). RNAcentral describes it as "lncRNA (ENSDNVG00000010206.1)". Lineage: Eukaryota; Metazoa; Chordata; Aves; Casuariiformes; Dromaiidae. The record is from RNAcentral.
GUGGCUUCAAUGGCUCCAUCUCCCAGGAGAAGCAGUAGGAAAGAUGCCAACGCCUUGCCAAGCAUGUCCUCAACUUUCUGGGCUAUCAUGAUCCUGGCUAGUCUCCUAAUCGCUUACUGCAGCACGGUUAUCUGACUGAUUUCAUAGAGGACUCUCCAUUUGUUUGAACCAACCCUAGAGAGCACCGAGAGCAGGUGAAAUAGCUGAUUUAAGCAAAAGUCA